GUUACACUAGAAAUGCACGUCACCGCCAGGACUCCAUGUUUUUCUUUCUCUUUUUGAACGCAAACAAUAUCUCCCGGUUGGAAUAUUAUCGCUAUUUUACGAGAAAAAUAGCAUAAAAAUUGAUUUUAAGUGCGUGGGUGACUUUGAAAUGUCGGUCUAUCCGCCCGAUGUUUUGCUUGGAACAAAGCCCGCAGUCGCGUUUUCAUCUGCUGUUCAUAGCUUCUCUCUCAAGCCUUCCUGCAUGCUUGAGUCGCUGUUUGCUCCACCGACCAACAAACUAACCCUAAAACUAACCCUAAACCUAUUUCUAACCCUAACCAUAGAUCCCCUAGAAAUAGCAUUUGACCUUGUGAGGGCCAACAAAAUGUCCCCAAUUGGUCAAAUUUCUCUUGGUUUACUAUUCUGGUCCCCACAAGUAUAGUUAAACACUGAACACACACAUACACACACUGGAGACACACACACACUGGAGACACACACACACUGGAGACACACACACACUGGACACACAGACUGUAAAUUAAAAUGUUAAUUGUGUGUGUCCAAAUAACUGAGUAUGUGACUAACCUUGUGAAACUGUCAUGUUAUAAUCUUCUGUUCUUCUAAGUAUAAUUCUUUGUUGCUCCUGUGUCCUUGUAUAGAUAAAAAGGGAACUGAGAGUCAAACCAGCUGUCUCCUGUGUCCUUGUAUAGAUAAAAGGGGAAGGAAGAGUCAAACCAGCUGUCUCCUGUGUCCUUGUAUAGAUUUAAAGGGAAGUAAGAGUCAAACCAGCUGUCUCCUGUGUCCUUGUAUAGAUUUAAAGGGAAGUGAGAGUCAAACCAGCUGUCUCCUGUGUCCUUUGUAUAGAUAAAAAGGGAACUGAGAGUCAAACCAGCUGUCUCCUGUGUCCUUGUAUAGAUAAAAAGGGAACUGAGAGUCCUGCCCAAGAACAGAUCAAGAUAUAAAGAUAUGUGCUGAUCACCCAAUGCUUCUGAAUUCAGACUGUCUACGCUGUGGAACUCUGUUAUUCUCUCUGAGAUCACAAUGUUUCUGAAUUCAGACUGUCUACACUGUGGAACUCUGUUAUUCUCUCUGAGAUCACAAUGCUUCUGAAUUCAGACUGUCUACACUGUGCUGUUGAACUCUGUUAUUUCUCUGAGCUCAUAAAUAAACAAUCUGGGUUUGACUUGGACUCCAGCAGAUCCUCAAUUAUAUAUACCCACACACACACACACACACUCACACCUUGGACACAUACACACACACACAAACACUGGACACACACAUGCACAAAGUGAGCAUUUCUCCUUCCCCAAGAUAAUCCAUCCACCUGACAGGUGUGGCAUAUCAAGAAGCUGAUUAACAGCAUGAUCAUUACAAAGGUCUCUCUAAAAUGUGUAGUUUUGUCAUAUAAAAACCUCAGACCACUUGUAUGGCAUCAUGUGGGUGAGAGGUUUGCUGAUGUCAACAUUGUGAACAGCCCCAUGGUGGAGGUGAGGUUAUGGUUCAACAUUGUGAACAGCCCCAUGGUGGUGGUGGGGUUAUGGUUCAACAUUGUGAACAGCCCCAUGGUGGAGGUGAGGUUAUGGUAUGGACAUUGUGAACAGCCCCAUGGUGGAGGUGAGGUUAUGGUUCAACAUUGUGAACAGCCCCAUGGUGGUGGUGAGGUUAUGGUUCAACAUUGUGAACAGCCCCAUGGUGGUGGUGAGGUUAUGGUAUGGCCAUUGUGAACAGCCCCAUGGUGGAGGUGAGGUUAUGGUUCAACAUUGUGAACAGCCCCAUGGUGGAGGUGGUGUUAUGGUUCAAUAUUGUGAACAGCCCCAUGGUGGUGGUGAGGUUAUGGUAUGGGCAGGCAUAAGCCACAGACCAUGAACUCAAGUGCAUUUUAUCGAUGGAAAUCUGAAUGCACAGAGAUACCGUGAUGAGAUCCCAUUGUCAUGCCAUUCAUCCUCACCCAUCACCUCAUGUUUCAGCAUGAUAAUGCACGGCCUGAUGUCGCAAGGAUCUGAACACAAUUCCUGGAAGCUGAAAAAAAAACUGUUCUUCCAUGGCCUGAGUACUCACCAGACAUGUCACCCAUUGAGCAUGUUUGGGAUGCUCUGGAUAUACGUGUACGAUAGCGUGAGAUUCGUAUCUGUAUUCCCAGUCAUGUGAAAUCUGUAGAUUAGGAUCUAAUUAAUGUAUUUCAACUGACUUAUUUCCUUAUAUGAACUGUAACUGUAACUCACUUGCAUUUUGGGUUUAUAUUUUUGUUCAGUAUAAUAAAAAGAUCAGUUGUAAAUGUUUUAUGUUUGAUAUGAUGUUAGUAACACUAAGUCAUUCCAUCCUUUCACUAAAUGGUAGUAACACUAAGUCAUUCCAUCCUUUCACUAAAGCUCUAAAGUAACUUUUAAUUGACAGAUGCCUCAUUUAUAUGUUGUGGAUGUUGAUGAAAGGAAAUCCCAUAUAGGCUACUGACCAGGACUUUGUUAUGGCAUCUUCUGUUUGGGAGUCUCAGGUCAGGUCAGAGCCAUGAUCAGAAUGUGUCUCUGUCUAUUUCCAGCCCUGACAUUUCUACCUGUCCUGAUCUAGUGUUUGACCCCUGACCUCCUCACACCGUCUCACUGUCCAUGUCUGCUUUUAGCUCCCACCUCUACUUCACUGUGUUAUAAUGGACCUUAUGGUUGUUAUGUCACCUCUGUAACCAGCUAUCAAACAUACUGACCUUUCUGACCCUAUCCCACCUCUACUUCACUGUGUUAUAAUGGACCUUAUGGUUGUUAUGUCACCUCUGUAACCAGGUAUCAAACAUACUGACCUUUCUGACCCUAUCCCAUGGCCCUACUUUCUAGAACUAAACAUUUAAUGUCCUCUGAGUUUUGCUUACUGUCCAUUUACUUAUGUAUUAUGUAUUUGUUGUAUAUUGGGGUUGUGCCUCAGAGCAUCAUGGGGGUUUGCAUGUGUUGAGAUGAUCACGUUCCAGAUAAAUGGUUGAUC
This 2955-nucleotide long non-coding RNA is filed under the name Salmo salar (Atlantic salmon). RNAcentral describes it as "lncRNA (ENSSSAG00000115658.1)". The record is from RNAcentral. Lineage: Eukaryota; Metazoa; Chordata; Actinopteri; Salmoniformes; Salmonidae.